This 504-nucleotide long non-coding RNA is filed under the name Androctonus crassicauda. Lineage: Eukaryota; Metazoa; Arthropoda; Arachnida; Scorpiones; Buthidae. The record is from RNAcentral.
AUACCGGUAAGUUGAAUUAAUCUUUGUAAAUUAUUAUUAUUACAUUUAUUUUAUUACAAUUUCAGUGAAUUACAGUCCAUAGUACAUCUAAGCAAUUAUGCAGCCAAUUGAUAUCAAAAACUCUCCGAUUCCAUUACUCCUAUUCAGCUUUUCCUCUUUGUUUUUUCUUCUUGUGUUUUCUCCUUUAAUGGUGGCAAACACAAAAGGAAGAGAUGCAGGAAAACAUGCACGCUGUAGAAAGAAAGUGAUGUCAUUUCAGUUGGAAUUGAUUUUCUUGCAGAUGAACUGCUAUCUAUUGAUGUAGUGAAUAAUAAUUAAUGAUUUUCUAAUAUUCCAGAUAACUGUUAUGAACUGUUUUAUAAAAUAGUGGUCCAUGUUUACCAAAUGAAGCCUCAUUAUAAGCUAUUGAUACCUUAUGAACUGAUAAAGGAUCAAUUUUGUCAGAAGAGGAUAAAAACAGUCUGUCAAGUAUUUGAACCCAAUCAAUGAAGUCUUUGAGUAUUA